GCGGGCAUAGCUCAGUGGUAGAGCAUUAGCUUCCCAAGCUGAGGGUCGUGGGUUCGAUCCCCAUUGCCCGCUCAA
This 75-nucleotide transfer RNA is filed under the name Bacteroidetes bacterium HGW-Bacteroidetes-1. Its description in RNAcentral is "tRNA-Gly". It matches the Rfam family "tRNA". From Rfam's summary of the family: Transfer RNA (tRNA) molecules are approximately 80 nucleotides in length. Their secondary structure includes four short double-helical elements and three loops (D, anti-codon, and T loops). The record is from RNAcentral. Lineage: Bacteria; Pseudomonadati; Bacteroidota.